CAAAUCUUGACAUCCUUUGACUGCUCUAGAGAUAGAGUCUUCCCCUUCGGGGGACAAAGUGACAGAUGGUGCAUGGUUGUCGUCAGCUCGUGUCGUGAGAUGUUGGGUUAAGUCCCGCAACGAGCGCAACCCUUAAGCUUAGUUGCCAUCAUUAAGUUGGGCACUCUAAGUUGACUGCCGGUGACAAACCGGAGGAAGGUGGGGAUGACGUCAAAUCAUCAUGCCCCUUAUGAUUUGGGCUACACACGUGCUACAAUGGACAAUACAAAGUGCAGCUAAACCGCGAGGUCAAGCAAAUCCCAUAAAGUUGUUCUCAGUUCGGAUUGUAGUCUGCAACUCGACUACAUGAAGCUGGAAUCGCUAGUAAUCGUAGAUCAGCAUGCUACGGUGAAUACGUUCCCGGGCCUUGUACACACCGA
Molecule: ribosomal RNA, 419 nt
Filed under: uncultured bacterium
Lineage: Bacteria
Description: bacterial SSU rRNA
Rfam family: Bacterial small subunit ribosomal RNA
Source: RNAcentral